Molecule: long non-coding RNA, 2404 nt
Organism: Cyprinus carpio carpio
Lineage: Eukaryota; Metazoa; Chordata; Actinopteri; Cypriniformes; Cyprinidae
Source: Ensembl
CUGCACAAAAAAAUCACUGCCAUGAUGCAGGUGGUUGUGAAAUGCGUUGCUAUGAGGUUGCUAAGGUGUGCUGAGUAGUGUUAAAUUCUCCUUUGCACCAUCUCCGACAUUUGUGUGUGACUGUCAUAUUUGUGUUUAAUUAUUCAAAUGAUUAUAAUUUUAUUUGCAUAGAAUUAUAAUUUAGGACAUAGUAAGAUAUAAAGGAUGCUCGUAGUUUUGAUUGGAAUGCAUCACACCUGGUCUGGCGGUCCCUUGCGGACAAAUAAUUCACUGUAUCCAAAGCUCAAAUCAGAUCUGAAAAAUGACUCGUAUGAUCAGAAAUCCACGCAGCUCCUGAACUAUUGUCCACUGAAAAUGGCCAUUUGUCUGAGAUAUAUUCAUCUUUGUAGCUGUAUGGUAUUCUGGGUGGUUGCUAGGGUGUUCUGGGUGGUUGCUAGGGCAUUCUGGGUGGUUGCUAGGGCAUUCUGGUUAGUUUCUUAGGUGGUGGUUGCUAGGGCAUUGUGGGUGGUUGCUAGGUGGAUGCUAAAGUGUUCUGGAUGGUUGCUCUGUAGUUGUUAGGUAGUGGUUAAUAGGGUGUUCUGUGUGGUUGCUAAGGUAUUCUGGGUAGUUGCUAGGGUGUUCUGAAUGGUUGAUUUGGUGGUUGUUAGGUGGUGGUUGCUAGGGCACUCUGGGUGGUUACUAGGUGGAUGCUGAGGUAUUCUGGAUGGUUGCUAUAGGUGGUUGCUGGGGAAUUCUGGGUGGUUGCUAGGGUGUUCUGGGUGGUUGCUAGGGCGUUCUGGGUGGUGGCUACAGGAUUCUGGGUAGUUGCUAGGGUCUUCUGGUUAGUUGCUUAGGUGGUGGUUGCUAGGGCAUUGUGGGUGGUUGCUAGGUGGAUGCUAAAGUGUUCUGGAUGGUUGCUUGGCGGUUGUUAGGUAGUGGUUAAUAGGGUGUUCUGUGUGGUUGCUAAGGUGUUAUGGGUAGUUGCUAGGGUGUUCUGAAUGGUUGAUUUGGUGGUUGUUAGGUGGUGGUUGCUAGGGCACUCUGGGUGGUUACUAGGUGGAUGCUGAGGUAUUCUGGAUGGUUGCUAUAGGUGGUUGCUGGGGAAUUCUGGGUGGUUGCUAGGGUGUUCUGGGUGGUUGCUAGUCUGUUGUGGGUGGUUGCUAGGGCAUUCUGGGUGGUUGCUGGGUCUUCUGGUUAGUUGCUUAGGUGGUGGUUGCUAGGGCAUUGUGGGUGGUUGCUAGGUGGAUGCUAAAGUGUUCUGGAUGGUUGCUUGGCGGUUGUUAGGUAGUGGUUAAUAGGGUGUUCUGUGUGGUUGCUAAGGUGUUAUGGGUAGUUGCUAGGGUGUUCUGAAUGGUUGAUUUGGUGGUUGUUAGGUGGUGGUUGCUAGGGCACUCUGGGUGGUUACUAGGUGGAUGCUGAGGUAUUCUGGAUGGUUGCUAUAGGUGGUUGCUAGGCCAUUCUGGGUGGUUGCUAGGGCACUAUAGGUGGCUGCUAGUUGGUUGCUUACUCAAAAGAAUAAAAAAAAAAAACAAGAAGAAUAAUUGAAGAAUUAAAAACUAAAAAUUUAAAAACUAUUAAACAAACACAAACUCAUGUGACUGGUUGAGUCAGAAGUCGACACGUUAGGUCACUAAAACAAACAGAUCAGUGAUUUAAAAACAUCACAGAUCCACUGUUUUGUAUUUUUUCAAAAAGUCAAAUGACCAAUGACUGACUUAAACGUUGAUGUUUCCCUCUAAAAAGAGAAAAUGCCGACCACUUUUGCCGACUGGCUGUUUCCCUCCAAAAGAUGGCGGCGCCUUUCUCCGUUUGCCAUCUGUUUGGCCGUUAGCUGCUCACAAACUCUGUCUAAUUGCAUUUGCAUAUCCUUGAUUUAGCUGGAGGGGGAGGGGAUAGCAGCUAAUCGCUCGUGAACGAGCAUGCAAAUCUCUCGGCGGGAGAAACAAUCCAUUCAAAGAGGCAUUUUGAGCUGUCAGCACAUUUGAGACGUUGUUGCUCUCGCUGCCAUAUGGAAAGUGAAGCGGGAGGCCCCUCUUAUGCAAAUCCCUCACUGUAGAGACCAAUGGGAGGGAGGCAGACAGAAACGCGACUGGCUAAUAAGUGGAUGGAGCGUAAUUAGUACGUUUGCUCAGCGAGUGGCACCAAAACCCCCAAUAUUAGUGAGCUUUAGAAAUCAUUUACAAUGGCUGUUGUGAUUGCAAUUAUCAUGAUCCAGAAGCAAAAACAUCUAGAGGAGCAUGUUAUCACUUCAUAGUUCAGGACGUUUUAAUGAAGGUUUCAGUUGUGUUUCACUGAAGUAUCCAGAUGUUUCUCCUUAAAAAAAAACAUAAAAAUAGACACAAAUGGGUCAAUAGUUGUUAUACAGUAAGAAGCGUGGGAUGCACACUUAAUCACACACACACACACACACACACACACACACACA